This 376-nucleotide unclassified non-coding RNA is filed under the name uncultured Actinomycetes bacterium. RNAcentral describes it as "uncultured actinobacterium contains 16S-23S intergenic spacer region". Lineage: Bacteria; Bacillati; Actinomycetota; Actinomycetes. The record is from RNAcentral.
UCCGAGUUGACCCCGGCAGUCUCCUAUGAGUCCCCACCAUCACGUGCUGGCAACAUAGAACGAGGGUUGUGCUCGUUGCGGGACUUAACCCAACAUCUCACGACACGAGCUGACGACAGCCAUGCACCACCUGCACACAGGCCACAAGGGAACCGACAUCUCUGCCGGCGUCCUGUGCAUGUCAAACCCAGGUAAGGUUCUUCGCGUUGCAUCGAAUUAAUCCACAUGCUCCGCCGCUUGUGCGGGCCCCCGUCAAUUUCUUUGAGUUUUAGCCUUGCGGCCGUACUCCCCAGGCGGUCAACUUAAUGCGUUAGCUGCGCCACUAAAAGCUCAAGGCUUCCAACGGCUAGUUGACAUCGUUUACGGCGUGGACUAC